Molecule: long non-coding RNA, 943 nt
Filed under: Pongo abelii (Sumatran orangutan)
Lineage: Eukaryota; Metazoa; Chordata; Mammalia; Primates; Hominidae
Description: lincRNA
Source: RNAcentral
CUCAGUGGUGAAGGCUGUGCGGACACUGGGGGCCAGCCAGGGGUUUGGCCCCUUACUCAACCCAACCACGGUCUUCUCCGGCGCAGGCCGAUUUGAGGACCUAGCCUCCUUGAUGCUGACGGCCUGACGGCUCCCGGGUGCCGGAUAUCUGACCCAGGCCACGGAGGCUCCCCUGGGAGACCUGGCAGGCCGGGAGGUGUGAGUUGGCUCUGCGCAGCUGCUCUGGGAGAGCCAGUCCACGGAGCCAAAGCUGGAGGGCAGCUGCCGGCCACAAGGUGUGGAGGAGGAGAGACGCAUGGCCGUCAGUUGCUUGCCCUGGAAACCAACCAUGAUGCUGUGAUGAAAUGCAGGCAACUGAGUUGUGUUUCAGCCCAAAGCAGCAAAUGGGAUCCAGCUUCAGGACCAUCAUCUGACACAGAGGAAGAAGACUUACAUAGAAUGCCUAACCAGCACCCAAGAUCAUGCUCAUAGGUGGAAGAGCCUUGCCUUGUCUCAGAUGAGACUUUGGACUGUGGACUUUCGAGUUAAUGCUGAAAUGAGUUGAGGCUUUGGGGGACUGUUGGGAAGGCAUGAUUGGUUUUAAAUAUGAAUAUAUGAGAUUUGGGAGGGGGCCGGGGUGGAAUGAUAUGGUUUGGCUCUGUGUCCCCACCCAAAUCUCAUCUUGUAGCUCCCAUAAUCUUCCCAUGUUGUGGGAGGGACCCAGUGGGAGAUGAUUGAAUCAUGAGGGCGGGUCUUUCUCAUGCUGUUCUCAUGAUCAUGAAUGGGUCUCACAAGAUCUAAUGGUGUUAAAAAUGGGAGUUUCUCUGCACAAGCUCUCUGCCUGCUGCCUUUCACAAAGGAUGUGACUUGCUUCUCCUUGCCUUCUGCCAUGAUUGUGAGGCCUCCCUAGCCAUGAUUGUGUGGAACUGUGAGUCCAAUUAAACCUCUUUCUUUUGUAAAUUUA